AAAUGGAUUGUGCAGAAGACCACAUUGAGAGUUGACAUAAGGAAUGUCUGAACGACUUCAAGUGGAGUACUUUUCACAGCUGAAAUAAAUGAACGCAUAUGAUUGCAUCCAUGUGUCUGGCCAGACCAACAUUGUAGAACAGUCAGAAUGUAUCAAGUUGAUUUAAUGUUUCUGAAUAAGGCCAAGGAGAAACUUCAGCGUCCCUGGGACAGGUUAGUGACAGGUAAUGGGACGAUGAGUUACACUGCAGUCACAUUCUUUAGGCAUUGGUGGUAAAAGGCAGAUUACUGUUUAUCAAACAGCCUACACUAAGGGACAGGUAGUGUAUGAACAUAUGAGGGAGCUCUGACAAGUUAGAGAACUUUAGAAUUUGAACUACCAGAAACAAAUCUGUUUAGACAAGUGUAUAACAAAAACGCAAAUUCCCUUUUACUCCAGGCCCACAGUCUGUUACCAAACAGCAAGCACAUGGUAGGCAGAAGAGAUUAUAUUUUAAGGACAAGGUUUUGAAAGUCAAAUGGUUUAUUGAGCAAAUCAUGCAAGAGUAGCAGGAACACCAGGCUAAAUCAAAAGCAUAACCGUAGAACCUAAAAGUGUGUCUGCAAUAUCGCUACAUCAGAAGUCAAUUUAGUCGUAUGUUUAUAAAAACGAUUCAUAACAUUGUAUCAUCCACCUCUGUAUACAAUUUGCAUGACGAUGUACAAGUGAAGGAGAUCCUCAUUUCAAACAAGCGCAUUAGUUCGCACAUUUCCCCACCUCAGUUACCUUUACUGUGCCUCUAGCAGAAAAGGGUAACAGGGAUAAGACGAUUAAGGAGUUGGCCAAACCAAACUAUGAUCUCCCUAGUUGAGUGGUCGGGCCGUCUGUUCAAGGCUUGUCGCUUCUGCUGAGGCGCCGGGGCCUGUUGCUUCUGCUGAGGCGCCGGGGCCUGUUGCUUCUGCUGAGGCGCCGGGGCCUGUUGCUUCUGCUGAGGCGCCGGGGCCUGUUGCUUCUGCUGAGGCGCCGGGGCCGGACGCUACCGCUGAGGCGCCGGGGCCUGUUGCUUCUGCUGAGGCGCCGGGGCCUGUUGCUUCUACUGAGGCGCCGGGGCCGGACUUUACACUUGACAUGGCAUUGUGGCCAGUAGCUUCUGCUGACGUGGCAUUGUGGCCAGUAGCUUCUGCUGACGUGGCAUUGUGGCCAGUAGCUUCUGCUGACGUGGCAUUGUGGCCAGUAGCUUCUGCUGACGUGGCAUUGUGGCCAGUAGCUUUAGCAUUUGGACCAGACACCACACUUGCUUGGGCAUAGGAUCCAGUUGGUUCAGGUCCAGUGUAGGCAGGAUGCCCAUGAGCGUUACCUAGGAAACAAAGAAAACAUUGUGGUAAAAUGCCAGCCUUCAUUUGGAUCGGAACUAGACCUGCGAUUUGACCUGAAUUAGUGUAAAGCAAAACGCACCUUUAAGUGUAAAACAAGUUAUCCCUCCAAUUAGCAGGCAACAAAUCCAAGAAACACUACAAAACAGUCAGACAGUUAAACAUAAAUAACCAGUGAACACUUUAAGACAUGGUAAACCAACCAGAUGAACGCAUUGAAAAACUAACCUCAAAGAGAGUCCAAAAGUCACAGCCAUUUUAGUGAUCAAAACCACAACAGUAUUCAAGAACUAAUUCUCGACAGCCUGCCAGAAUAUCCCGGUUGCUAUUUCUAACAGCUGUUUUGGUUGCACCUCAUAAAGGAAUCCCAGACCCUUCUACCCUGGCUGGCUAAUUAUGUACAGCUGUCAGCCAAUGAACUUCAUUUCCAUUGGUUCAAUUUCCCAAAUGUGAUUAGGUGCAGUCAUCCGUUGCCGUAUGGUGAACAACAGAGGGAGAAUUGGACGACAAAAGAAAGAGACCAAAUUCAGUUCAACAACUUACAAAAAAACAGACAAUUGAUGAACGCAUAUUACAUUUCAUACAUGUUCAGUCGUCUGUAGCUGCCAAAUUCUGAUCUUUUUCCCACUAAUUGGUCUUUUCACCAAUCAGGUCAGCCGUUUUGCCAGCAAUUGUGAUUGCGUCCAAACAGACUUCAGCCACUUUCCAAAGCUUAGAUGUUGCUGAAGUCUGCCAGAUCUUACAUCGCCUUGAUAGGUAUUUUAAGUAUCAGCUAACCACAUCAUAUGUCAGAGGAUGACACAGUU
Molecule: long non-coding RNA, 2158 nt
Organism: Oncorhynchus kisutch (coho salmon)
Lineage: Eukaryota; Metazoa; Chordata; Actinopteri; Salmoniformes; Salmonidae
Source: Ensembl